Molecule: non-coding RNA, 1003 nt
Organism: Cinara cedri
Lineage: Eukaryota; Metazoa; Arthropoda; Insecta; Hemiptera; Aphididae
Source: the annotation of a GenBank genome assembly
GUCGUCUAUAAUAUUUUUUAUUCUCGGAAAACAUAUUAACAUAUAAUUAACAUCAAUAGAAAGAACUACGUGUUAAAAUCCACUGCCUCAACAGUACAUCUUCGACGGUUUUUUUUUUGAAAAAUAAAAAAAAUAAAUAUUUUAGACGUGUACAAAGUAUAUUAAUAAUACUAUAAUUUUACCUAACCCGAACAGCAACAGGAAGAAAACAAUGAUGGAUUGCCCUGCUGCUAUUGUCAGUUCUCUUCAAUAAUAGAUUAAUUUCGAAUUUUCCAAAAGUCUUUGCUCGAAAAGGCGGUAUUUUCGAUGAAUUUUUAACGACUCUUAAGUUUUUUCUUCGCCCGAGUAUAAGGCGGCUAUAAUAAUAUUUUGUAUAGGUACAUUUUUUUUACUUUUUUUUUGUUCUCGCCUUUAUAUCCCGUUUGCUUCAUAACAACAACGAACGACGUAGUACCUAUCGAUUUUUAUUAGCCACUUCCUUUCAGACGGUUCUGUUUCAUUUUUUCGUCCGAGACAAACGUCAGCUUUAACGCGUGGCCGAGUGGGUAUGUACGAGUUUCAUCAAUCUUUUCUUUCUCGCAGCAUACGUCCAUCAUCCGCGUACACUUUUAUCUGUUCGACAGAAGUUUUCUUCUCGCAUGCACCAUCUCAUUAUUAUAUUAUUGAAUUCGCAGAAAAUAAUAUAAUAGAUAAUCACAAUGAUUCGUACAGAACAAUGUAUCGUUUUGAAUGUAACAAUAUUCGAAAUGUUACUAUAAUAGCGCGUAUACCACUGUAUAAUAAAAUAAUAAUUCGAGUAUUAAAUAUAAUGAAUUACGUAUUAGUAAUUUGUGAUGUAAAAUGUGGUAAAAGCCGAACCCAUUUUUAAGAUAAAAACGUAUUACCUAAUGGUAGAGAGGAGGGUCGAUUAUGUUUUAAGUAUUCUCAAGCGUAUAUUCAUUAAAAAAAAAUGUACGGCUACAUUACUCACGACGAAGCGGUAAAUGGAAUCGAUACAACGAAC